Phragmites australis (common reed) is the source of this 883-nucleotide long non-coding RNA. RefSeq lists it as uncharacterized. The transcript is spliced from 2 exons. NCBI's taxonomy places the organism in Eukaryota, Viridiplantae, Streptophyta, Magnoliopsida, Poales, Poaceae. The record is from RefSeq and is a predicted model, not a curated record.
GAGUAAUGUGGUCCGUCAGAUUCGCAUGGGAUCAGUUGAUUAACUUGCUGCUUGUAACUUGAUUAUAGAUAAGAUAGAUCUUAUAUACUGCAGAGACUGUAGGCCUCCGAUAUAUGAAUUCACAGAAUUGCUGAUCACCACUAAAUUAAGAAAAGUACUCAAAUGGCGCCCAUAUGACUUGCCAAGGGAGGGUGAGGAACGCAAGGGUCUUGAAGGGCUGCAAGUGAGAAGUUGAGUGUGUGAUAUCGUUUGUUGUUGUUUCAGAAAGUAGUUAGUCUUCUCUCAAAGAGAAAGAAGAUAGUUAAUCUACAGUUCUACAUACUGUUAUGCUGAAGACUAACUUAGCACAUCCUACCUGCUAGACUGAGAAUUUGUGCAUUUUAGCUCAUUAAUGUCAUCAGUCCUCUUUCUUAUAGGGACUAUUCUGUUGUUGGAGGAUUUGACAUGAAAAUGGUGCAGCAUUCGUCUUGAUUCUUUUCGUCACUAAGUUGAUAAAGAGUGUUGAUUAUAAAAUUCUUGGCUUCUAUGGAAAUAACAAGAAAUAAACAAGUGGUUAUUAUUGGUUCUGGUAUCGAACCUAGGAUGGGUCAGUAUUAGACUUUUGGUUCAGAACCUAUGCCAUUGCUAAUCAACAUAAUUUGCUUCAUUUUUUUUUAUUCACUGAUGCCCGGGAUUUGCUGUAUGGAUGACUAUGAUGGCAAUGUGAAAAGUAGUGUAUUUUAGGAAAGAAAUGGUGUAUGUAUUUUUUUUUUUGUAAUUUAAUUAUCUUAGUAUAAAGGCUAUCUUACCCUUACCUUCCUCUGUAGAUUUUGCUUUCUUGCUUACAAAUUAGUUUCCAUCAAACAGUACUCAACUCACAAGUACCAAAUAGUUUUCAUUAAAC